CCCUAUUAUUUUUAUAGUAAAUUUUGUUUAAAGUAGUAAAUGAUAAAAUCAGGAAACUUAAAGAAUUUGGCGGUAUUUAUUCUAAUUAGAGGAAUAUGUUUUUUAAUUGAUAUUCCCCAAUUAUCUUACUUAAAAUUUUAUACUUUGUAUAUCUCUGUUUAAAAGAUUUUUUUUAAAAUAAAAUUUAAAAUUCUGAGAAGAAUUAAAUCAAGUCAAGAUGCAGGUUAUAUUUAAGUUAAAAUGUAUUACAAUAAAUUUUUAUUUAUAGAAUUUAAAAUGAAAAAUUAAAUUAAAUUGGAUUUAAAAGUAAAUUUAUUUUAAUUAUAAUAAAUUGAAUUAUGAAAAUAAAUAUGUACACAU
RNAcentral lists this ribosomal RNA (360 nucleotides) under Tagalopsocus sp. KY257. Its description in RNAcentral is "partial 12S rRNA". The record is from RNAcentral. Lineage: Eukaryota; Metazoa; Arthropoda; Insecta; Psocodea; Amphipsocidae.